CGGCGUGCUUAACACAUGCAAGUCUAAGGGAAAGCCCCGAUUCGUCGGGUGGAUACUGGCGAACGGGUGAGUAACGCGUAGAUUACUUGCCUCCGGGAUAGGGACAAUCCUGCGAAAGCGGGGCUAAUACCGAAUGAGAUUCUUUGGUUCGCUAAAAGAAUGAAAGAGGGCUUCGGCUCUCGCCUGGAGAUAGGUCUGCGUCUGAUUAGUUAGUUGGUGAGGUAAUGGCUCACCAAGACGACGAUCAGUAGCUGGUCUGAGAGGAUGAUCAGCCACACUGGGACUGAGAUACGGCCCAGACUCCUACGGGAGGCAGCAGUGGGGAAUUUUGCGCAAUGGACGAAAGUCUGACGCAGCAACGCCGCGUGACCGAUGAAGCAUUUAGGUGUGUAAAGGUCUGUCGUUGGGGAAGAAAAAGGUAGAUGUUAAUAAUUUCUACCGUUGACGGUACCCUUCAAGAAAGCUCCGGCUAACUCCGUG
Molecule: ribosomal RNA, 480 nt
Filed under: uncultured bacterium
Lineage: Bacteria
Description: bacterial SSU rRNA
Rfam family: Bacterial small subunit ribosomal RNA
Source: RNAcentral